RNAcentral lists this ribosomal RNA (518 nucleotides) under uncultured bacterium. RNAcentral describes it as "bacterial SSU rRNA". It matches the Rfam family "Bacterial small subunit ribosomal RNA", at positions 33 to 563 of the family's 1533-position model. The record is from RNAcentral.
ACGCUGGCGGCGUGCUUAACACAUGCAAGUCAAGGGGGCCCGCAAGGGCAACCGGCGAACGGGUGCGUAACACGUGAGCAAUCUGCCGAUUUCUGGGGGAUAGCCGGCCCAACGGCCGGGUAAUACCGCAUACGCUCAGGUGGGGGAGUCCCUGGCUGAGGAAACCGUUUGGGGAGAUCGAGGAGCUCGCGGCCUAUCAGCUAGUUGGCGGGGUAACGGCCCACCAAGGCACUGACGGGUAGCUGGUCUGAGAGGAUGGCCAGCCACAUUGGGACUGAGAGACGGCCCAGACUCCUACGGGAGGCAGCAGUGGGGAAUCUUGCGCAAUGGCCGGAAGGCUGACGCAGCGACGCCGCGUGUGGGAGGACGCCCUUCGGGGUGUAAACCACUGUUGCCCGGGACGAAUCCGCCUUGUUGAGGGCGUUGACGGUACCGGGUGAGGAAGCACCGGCUAACUCCGUGCCAGCAGCCGCGGUAAUACGGAGGGUGCGAGCGUUGUCCGGAAUCACUGGGCGUAA